UGAAGGAAAGGGCCCCUUAGUACGAGAGGAACGGGGGCUCGCAGCCACUAGUUUACCAGUUGUCCGACAGGGCAUUGCUGGGCAGCCACGCUGCAAGGGAUAAGAGCUGAAAGCAUCUAAGCUCGAAACCCGCCCUAAGACGAGGCACGUUGACGCCCGUAGAAGACGGGACGAUAGGACCGGGGUGUACGCACCGAGA
This 199-nucleotide ribosomal RNA is filed under the name Methanobacteriota archaeon. Its description in RNAcentral is "Euryarchaeota archaeon partial 23S ribosomal RNA". It matches the Rfam family "Archaeal large subunit ribosomal RNA", at positions 2732 to 2936 of the family's 2987-position model. Lineage: Archaea; Methanobacteriati; Methanobacteriota. The record is from RNAcentral.